Molecule: ribosomal RNA, 497 nt
Filed under: uncultured bacterium
Lineage: Bacteria
Description: partial 16S ribosomal RNA
Rfam family: Bacterial small subunit ribosomal RNA
Source: RNAcentral
GAUGAACGCUGGCGGCGUGCCUAAUACAUGCAAGUCGAGCGAACAGACGAGGAGCUUGCUCCUCUGACGUUAGCGGCGGACGGGUGAGUAACACGUGGAUACCCUACCUAUAAGACUGGGAUAACUUCGGGAAACCGGAGCUAAUACCGGAUAAUAUAUUGAACCGCAUGGUUCAAUAGUGAAAGCCGGUUUUGCUGUCACUUAUAGAUGGAUCCGCGCCGCAUUAGCUAGUUGGUAAGGUAACGGCUUACCAAGGCAACGAUGCGUAGCCGACCUGAGAGGGUGAUCGGCCACACUGGAACUGAGACACGGUCCAGACUCCUACGGGAGGCAGCAGUAGGGAAUCUUCCGCAAUGGGCGAAAGCCUGACGGAGCAACGCCGCGUGAGUGAUGAAGGUCUUCGGAUCGUAAAACUCUGUUAUUAGGGAAGAACAAAUGUGUAAGUAACUAUGCACGUCUUGACGGUACCUAAUCAGAAAGCCACGGCUAACUACGUG